AGCAAAUACAAUCGCCGGUCGGGCCACAAGAAAAUCCAGUUUCUCUCCUCCUCGUUCUUUCUCCUUUCCACUUCACAGCUUUUGAAGACCAAAACGACGACGUGCAAUGUACCCCUGCGAUCGUGGCCGAAUCGAUUCAGAGGAAUCAAAACAACGACGACCUUACUAGUCCCAUCAUCGUCGGCUAGUCACAUUGAUCGCAUCCCCAACGAUUCGUGGCGUGGAAGCGAGUUGAUCGUUCGUUAAUUGCAUGGAUUAAUCCUGGCUUCAAUGUAUCACAGUCGCAGAUCAAUAUCCGGUUUAUGAGCCUCAAUCGUCCAGGCAUAAUCAUCCGAAGCGAUCAAGACCUGCCAUGGAAAUCGUUACCAAAUUUCGUUUGAAAUACCUGUAAUAAAACUUUGAACGUACGAUAACAAAUUAGGAAGCCAAAUCACCAGUAAGGCACAUGGAGCCUUCAAAGAGGUUCCAAAAAUUAGGUUAUUUGGACGAAAACCAUCACCUGAAUGGUUUUGUCCAAAAUCCAAAAUAUUACCAGAACGGGGAGGAAAGGGAAAUAAUUUUAUUUUUGGUGGACCUUUAGCGGCGGCCUUUUGAUCGCAGUAUAAUAUAGUUUUUGCGGCAAAAA
Pyrus x bretschneideri (Chinese white pear) is the source of this 625-nucleotide long non-coding RNA. RefSeq lists it as uncharacterized. The transcript is spliced from 2 exons. Lineage: Eukaryota; Viridiplantae; Streptophyta; Magnoliopsida; Rosales; Rosaceae. The record is from RefSeq and is a predicted model, not a curated record.